This 901-nucleotide small RNA is filed under the name Pseudomonas aeruginosa PAK. RNAcentral describes it as "putative antisense RNA". Lineage: Bacteria; Pseudomonadati; Pseudomonadota; Gammaproteobacteria; Pseudomonadales; Pseudomonadaceae. The record is from RNAcentral.
GGCGAGCCGGACGCCGGCGAGAAACCUGCUCAGUCCUGAGCCGGGAACGCCAGGUCGAAGCGGAUGCGUCCCGGAGCCGGUGCACUCGCUUCGGCGCGGCCGCCGUGCAGGCGCAUGAUCGCCUGGACGAUGGCCAGGCCGAGACCGCUGGACUGGGCGUCGCUGCGCGCGGCGUCGCCACGGUAGAAACGGUCGAACAGGCGCGACAGCGGUUCGGCCGGCAGCCUGUCGCAGGCGUUCUCCACGCUCAGCAGGAAUUCCCCCGAUCGGCGCAGGCCGCGCACUUCGAUCAGGCUGUCGGCGCUGGCGUAGCGGAUGGCGUUGGCCAGCAGGUUGCUCAGCGCCCGGCGGAACAGUUGCGGAUCGGCGCGUAGCUGGCCGCUGACCUGGAUGUCGAGGCUCAGCCCUCGUUCCUCGGCCAGCCCUUCGAAAUACUCCGCCUGGCGCCGCAGCUCUUCGCCCAGGUCCAGGCGGCUGCGCUCCACCGCUGCCCGCACGUCGUCGGCGCGAGCGAGGAACAGGAUGCUCUCGACCAUCCGCGCGAUGCGCUCCAGCUCUUCCUGGUUGGAGGCGAUCAGCGCCUGGUACUCCUCGUUGCUGCGCGGCUGGCGCAGGGCCACCUGGCCGUGGCCCAUCAGCGAACCGAUGGGCGUGCGGAUCUCAUGGGCGAGGUCGGCGGAGAACUGCUGCAGGCGCUGGUAGCCGUCGUCGAGGCGUUCGAGCAUGGCGUUGAACGACUGUGCCACCUGCUGCAACUCGGCAGGCGCGGCGGCGACGUCGAGGCGGGUAUCCAGGCUGGUCGGAUGGAUCUCCGCCGCCUUCGCCGCCAGCGUGCGCAGCGGGCGCAGGCCGUGGCGCAGGACCAGCCAGCCGAGCAGGGCGGUGCCGAGGAACGCCAGCA